UGGCCCAGAUCGUUUACCGUGAAAAAAUUAGAGUGUUCAAAGCAGGCAGACCAUUUCUUCUGCCACCGAAUACAUUAGCAUGGGAUAAUGGAAUAGGACCCUGUCCUCCUAUUUUGCGUGUUGGUUUUCGAGGACCGGGUAAUGAUUAAUAGGGAUAGUUGGGGGCAUUAAUAUUUAAUUGUCAGAGGUGAAAUUCUUGGAUUUAUGAAAGAUUGACUUCUGCGAAAGCAUCUGCCAAGGAUGUUUUCAUUAAUCAAGAACGAAAGUUAGGGGAUCGAAGACGAUCAGAUACCGUCGUAGUCUUAACCAUAAACGAUGCCGACCAGCGAUUAGGAGACGUUGAAUACAAAACACCACCGUCGGGUCGGCCGUCCUUGGCCGUCGUGCGCGGCGACGCGCGCGGCGGCGAGGGCGGUGUCUGCCCGACGGCCCGGU
RNAcentral lists this ribosomal RNA (435 nucleotides) under Acanthamoeba sp. ACA5. RNAcentral describes it as "SSU rRNA". It matches the Rfam family "Eukaryotic small subunit ribosomal RNA", at positions 739 to 1076 of the family's 1831-position model. The record is from RNAcentral. Lineage: Eukaryota; Discosea; Longamoebia; Acanthamoebidae.